CAGCAGUCGCCACGGUAAUACGUAGGUGGCAAGCGUUGUCCGGAAUUAUUGGGCGUAAAGCGUGCGCAGGCGGUUGUGUAAGACAGGUGUGAAAUCCCCGGGCUUAACCUGGGAACUGCGCUUGUGACUGCACAGCUAGAGUAUGGCAGAGGGGGGUGGAAUUCCACGUGUAGCGGUGAAAUGCGUAGAGAUGUGGAGGAACACCGAUGGCGAAGGCAGCCCCCUGGGCCAAUACUGACGCUCAUGCACGAAAGCGUGGGGAGCAAACAGGAUUAGAUACCCCCGUAGUCCCUGUCUCUUAUAC
This 304-nucleotide ribosomal RNA is filed under the name uncultured bacterium. RNAcentral's name for it is "partial 16S ribosomal RNA". It matches the Rfam family "Bacterial small subunit ribosomal RNA", at positions 506 to 807 of the family's 1533-position model. The record is from RNAcentral.